GUGACAGCGUACCUGCGCAAAGCCAGAGGCGGACACUUUUUUCUUCUUACUGGCGGUAUAGCCCCCGGCGCUGCUGCCGUUGUGGAAAGGACUGGCCGGCCUCUUCUUGCUGUUCCGGGCUAUCCCCGGAGUGGAAGUGGUGGCCACAAUUGGAAUUUGAGCCGCCAUUCCUACCCCGAGUCUUCCUCCUACCCCCUCCCGACUUGGUCCCAGUGCAGGCCCUGGAACUUCCGGCCCGCCGUUACUUCCGUCUUAAUGCUUUUGAAAACCCGGCCUGGACUCCGAAAGCUUUCGUUGACUUCUCUCGGCCAAAUGUAAAAGGCGGAGCUCGGAGCUGUCUCUUCCUUCCGGGCGGGAGGGUGUCUGGCGGGCGGAGUGCUGCUGUUCACAAGCUCGGGCCCGGGCACGUGCUUGGACGUCCCCAGGGAUUGAGGAUUAGAACAUCCCGUGAUCUUUUUAAAACAACUGGAUUUUUAAAAAGUUAAUCACCACGUUGUGUCUUCUCACGUUAAGUCAGAAGAUUGAUCGCUUUUGAUGUCUCUAAGUGUAAAGUUAAAGCUCCCAGGAUCCACACCUUAGAUCCACGCCACAACUGUCACAUGUUCAGAAGUGAUACAGCUUCUCAAAACCACGCAAGGACAACUUAGCUAUGCACUAACUUGGCCAUCACGUGCUGGAUUCAGCUGAUGGAAUAGCAGGAAGAGGUUACCUUUGGGAAGAGAGAUGCAGCCUCUGGAGAGUAACUGAAAAGCACCACCAGCAGCAGCUCCUAGCCACCCCAUGGGCGGAUCCUGCAGAUGCUCUGCUGCACAGAAGGCACGGGACCCAAGUGCAAUUCCGUUGACACCAAGUUCUA
Molecule: long non-coding RNA, 856 nt
Organism: Globicephala melas (long-finned pilot whale)
Lineage: Eukaryota; Metazoa; Chordata; Mammalia; Artiodactyla; Delphinidae
Source: RefSeq, a predicted model, not a curated record